GAUGUUAGCUCAAUGGCAGGGCAUCUGCUUUGCAUGCAGAAGGUCCCAGGUUCAAUCCCUGGCAUCUCCA
Podarcis lilfordi (Lilford's wall lizard) is the source of this 70-nucleotide non-coding RNA. NCBI's taxonomy places the organism in Eukaryota, Metazoa, Chordata, Lepidosauria, Squamata, Lacertidae. The record is from the annotation of a GenBank genome assembly.